This is a long non-coding RNA of Nomia melanderi (Alkali bee), 1621 nucleotides long. RefSeq lists it as uncharacterized. NCBI's taxonomy places the organism in Eukaryota, Metazoa, Arthropoda, Insecta, Hymenoptera, Halictidae. The record is from RefSeq and is a predicted model, not a curated record.
UGUAGUUUGAAUCAGACAAUUGCGAAAGGCAGACGUAUAAUUCUAAGUUUACGUACAAAACUCACGCAGAAAUGCCGAAAAUACGAAAACUCACUCCUGCAGAAAGAUCAGUAAUAUGUAACAGAAGAAUGUAAGGAGAUUCUUUGAGGAAGAUUGUAGUGAGGUUUAAUAUUUCCGCGGAAGGUGUUAGGAAGAUCAUAAAUAGAUUAGAAAAAAAUGGAACUGCAGAAAGUCCGCCAAAAUCUGGAAAUUCACGAAAAACAACACCCAGACAAAAUAGUAUUACUUUACGAGAAGUUUGUAAAAACCGUUUCAUUUCGACCAAACAAUUAAACUCUGAUUUCAAUUUACCGAUUCAGGAAACUCAAAUUUGAAGACAAAUAAAAGAAGUAAAAUUGCACAGGUAUGUCAACAUACUUUCCGUGGCGACUGUAUCACUGAUGGAGGUCGAUAACGAGGAUCUCACGUAGGAUCCAUCAAAACAGUUCACGUUGGUAAAUACUCGGACACUUGUUACUGUUAACAACACAGAGCGGAUUAAGCUGAAGCAAGCGACAAUGUUUUGCUCGAUCAAAAAUCAGAGAUAAUAAGCUUGAUCUACAAUACUAUCCGACAAUAAUGGUCUUUAAGUAUAUGGUUACGCGUUUUAGUAAAUAUGUAACAAUAAAAAUUUGAAUAAUUAUAUAAUAUUUAAUUAUAGUAUAACGGCAAUUUUGAUUUUACUGGAACACGGAAUUAACCAAGAUUGAAUUUGUAUGUGAUAAAUGUACAAACAAAAUACAACGUUAUGAUCUUCCAACUCAAUAUGACGUAAACAAAACCAUUAUGCAUUAAUGUUCUCUUUUUUAUUGGUUUUCAAACAAAUUGUAUAAAAUUGCAAACUACACUGUGUUAGUGGAUUUCAAAAUAAAAUUAAAUUUGAGCCUGCUAUAAAGUAUCAUGGAAAAUAUAUGUUAUUAUAUUAAAUUGAUAAUAUAAUCUUCAUUAAAUAGAACUAAAAGUAAUUUAAACUAUGUUUCUUUGAAAAAAAAGUGAAUAAACAUGUGUUAGCACACAAGUUAUCGGUUGGUAACUGUUGAUAAUAUAAAAACGGAAGUGAUGUCAUCAAUAUUAUUAAAAUUAACUGGUAGAUCUUCUUAUUAUCAAUGCACUCUUACUACUGCUACUGCUGCUACUAAUACUAAUAUAUAACAUGUUAAUGCAAAUGAAUAAGAUAAACGAGCAAAUGUUAAUGUACACUAACGAAAUACAGUAAAAUUUAAUUUCAUAAAGUUUUUACUGGCAACCUUAUCAUUUUUCUCAAUAAAACGUAUUUGUUAAAAAUUAAUAGAGAACUUUUAAAAAACUAAAAAUUCAGAAUUAAAAAACCAACUGCAUUUAUGAAACGGAAUUAAAGAUGAAACAACUGUAGAAGACAAUUCGUUACAGAAUAUCUUUAAAGAAAAUAUUCAAGAUCUUAUGAAACACACAAUAUAAACAACAGUUUUAAUUAUCUUUCUUGAUUAACUAAUUAGCAUAUUUAUUGUUAUGCAUAACAAUCUUCCACAAGAAAAUAAUUUCACUACUAUUAUUCUAAAAAUAACUAAGAGUCGCGCGCGGUAAAGUAGCUAAAAUUGAAUAA